GAUGAACGCUGGCGGCGUGCCUAAUACAUGCAAGUCGAGCGAACGGACGAGAAGCUUGCUUCUCUGAUGUUAGCGGCGGACGGGUGAGUAACACGUGGAUAACCUACCUAUAAGACUGGGAUAACUUCGGGAAACCGGAGCUAAUACCGGAUAAUAUUUUGAACCGCAUGGUUCAAAAGUGAAAGACGGUCUUGCUGUCACUUAUAGAUGGAUCCGCGCUGCAUUAGCUAGUUGGUAAGGUAACGGCUUACCAAGGCAACGAUGCAUAGCCGACCUGAGAGGGUGAUCGGCCACACUGGAACUGAGACACGGUCCAGACUCCUACGGGAGGCAGCAGUAGGGAAUCUUCCGCAAUGGGCGAAAGCCUGACGGAGCAACGCCGCGGGAGUGAUGAAGGUCUUCGGAUCGUAAAACUCUGUUAUUAGGGAAGAACAUAUGUGUAAGUAACUGUGCACAUCUUGACGGUGCCUAAUCAGAAAGCCACGGCUAACUACGUGCCAGCAGCCGCGGUAAUACGUAGGUGGCAAGCGUUAUCCGGAAUUAUUGGGCGUAAAGCGCGCGUAGGCGGUUUUUUAGUCUGAUGUGAAAGCCCACGGCUCAACCGUGGAGGGUCAUUGGAAACUGGAAAACUUGAGUGCAGAAGAGGAAAGUGGAAUUCCAUGUGUAGCGGUGAAAUGCGCAGAGAUAUGGAGGAACACCAGUGGCGAAGGCGACUUUCUGGUCUGUAACUGACGCUGAUGUGCGAAAGCGUGGGGAUCAAACAGGAUUAGAUACCCUGGUAGUCCACGCCGUAAACGAUGAGUGCUAAGUGUUAGGGGGUUUCCGCCCCUUAGUGCUGCAGCUAACGCAUUAAGCACUCCGCCUGGGGAGUACGACCGCAAGGUUGAAACUCAAAGGAAUUGACGGGGACCCGCACAAGCGGUGGAGCAUGUGGUUUAAUUCGAAGCAACGCGAAGAACCUUACCAAAUCUUGACAUCCUUUGACAACUCUAGAGAUAGAGCUUUCCCCUUCGGGGGACAAAGUGACAGGUGGUGCAUGGUUGUCGUCAGCUCGUGUCGUGAGAUGUUGGGUUAAGUCCCGCAACGAGCGCAACCCUUAAGCUUAGUUGCCAUCAUUAAGUUGGGCACUCUAAGUUGACUGCCGGUGACAAACCGGAGGAAGGUGGGGAUGACGUCAAAUCAUCAUGCCCCUUAUGAUUUGGGCUACACACGUGCUACAAUGGACAAUACAAAGGGCAGCGAAACCGCGAGGUCAAGCAAAUCCCAUAAAGUUGUUCUCAGUUCGGAUUGUAGUCUGCAACUCGACUACAUGAAGCUGGAAUCGCUAGUAAUCGUAGAUCAGCAUGCUACGGUGAAUACGUUCCCGGGUCU
Molecule: ribosomal RNA, 1371 nt
Filed under: uncultured bacterium
Lineage: Bacteria
Description: bacterial SSU rRNA
Rfam family: Bacterial small subunit ribosomal RNA
Source: RNAcentral